RNAcentral lists this ribosomal RNA (263 nucleotides) under uncultured bacterium. RNAcentral's name for it is "partial 16S ribosomal RNA". It matches the Rfam family "Bacterial small subunit ribosomal RNA", at positions 524 to 786 of the family's 1533-position model. The record is from RNAcentral.
UACGUAGGGAGCGAGCGUUGUCCGGAAUUACUGGGCGUAAAGGGCGCGUAGGCGGGAUAUUAAGUUAGGUGUGAAAACUCCGGGCUUAACUUGGAGAUUGCACUUAAGACUGGUAUUCUUGAGGACAGGAGAGGGAAGUGGAAUUCCUAGUGUAGCGGUGAAAUGCGUAGAUAUUAGGAGGAACACCAGUGGCGAAGGCGACUUUCUGGACUGUAACUGACGCUGAGGCGCGAAAGCGUGGGGAGUGAACGGGAUUAGAUACC